Long non-coding RNA from Artibeus jamaicensis (Jamaican fruit-eating bat), 1819 nucleotides. RefSeq lists it as uncharacterized. The record is from RefSeq and is a predicted model, not a curated record. The transcript is spliced from 4 exons. Lineage: Eukaryota; Metazoa; Chordata; Mammalia; Chiroptera; Phyllostomidae.
GGAAGGCACAGACCCUGCCCUCACAGAGAAGCAAGAGAAAGGAAUCGGCUGCAGGAGCCCAGAGGAGAGGCUGCUCACUCAUUCUGCAAUCAGGCAACUUCCUGGAGGAGGACUGGACGCCUGCUCCGAGCUUCAGAGAAUGACUAGGAGAUGGCUGAGCUGAGUCUUCAAGACAGAUGCUCACCAAGGAAGAGGCUGGGAGGGGCAUUUCAGACAAAUGUUGCUGUUAGGGGAGCCAGGGCUGCUGCUGGUCCAAGGAGAUGGGGAGAGACUCCCCCACUGUGAUAUGGCUGCUGAAAGAGCUGAGCCUGGGCUGCAGCAGAGAUAUCAUUAGAGAAACAUGGGUGACUGCCCCUGUGGACCCCGACCUGCCCAGACGACACUGAGGAAGCUUCUGUGGCAAUUGUUGGGAGGGACCUCUCCAGAGGUGGUAGGGAGGGGCUAGGGGCUCCGCGUCCUGGCCUUGACGGUCACAGGAGUUGGCAAUCAUGCCAGGAAUUCCUCAGAUUGAGGGCAGAGCUGCUGCUUUUUAGUCUCAUCAGGUGCAUUCUAGGCCAAAGGGAAGACCUGGGUCCAGGAAGAGGUGAUCAGCAUUGUGCUCAUAGCCGUUUGCAGUGAAGAAGAAGAACAAGAAGAAGAAGAAGAAGAAGAAGAAGAAGAAGAAGAAGAAGAAGAAGAAGAAGAAGAAGAAGAAGAAGGAGAAGAAGGAGAAAUGCAAAUCAGUGGAAGACUAAAGAAUGAGGACGCAAACUCCAGGAGGGAAGGGAUUUUGUAUUGCUUUGUCCACGACCGUGUCCCAGCAGCUGGAAGAGAGCCGGCCUACAAAACAUGGACUGAGUGAGGCCUAGCACUCAUCAAGUGUUUGUUGAUCGAAUGCAAGAUUUGCCAGAGAGCAACCCCAGCUGGAGCCCCUCUCUGGUUCCCAGAGCAGACUCAACAGCUCCAAGCUGUGAAUGGAGUCUUCACACAGCAUUUCAUGCACUUGGAAGUCAAGAAGCGAAUUCAUGGUACUUUGGAAAACACAUUUUCUUUUAAGGAAGAAUUUUUUGUUUUCAUUUCAAACAGCCCUGGCUGGUGACGAGUGGUGAGGAGAGGUGCCCUGUUUUCCAUCCCAACACCUAUUUCCAGGUGGGGGCAGGGAGGGCUUCAGCCCAAAAUGUUAUUUCAAAACCUUUCCGGGCCUUGCAGCUCCAUUUCCAGGCCGCACGCCGCAAAGAACAGCACAGUUUCCCAUGACGUCGCGUUGCCCUUUCUGGUCUGAGCACCUUUCAAAGUGGGAAGAGCCAGCCGUCCCCAACACUCCCCUCCUAUCCCCAUAAAUAAAUCUCACCGCCCGAUGUGGGACUUAAACAAAUAGCCUUGCUGGGCAUCUGACGACCACACUCCUGAGAGGCGAGCUUGCCGAGAACAGAAAACCGAGGCUGCCCCCUCCCAGCCCCUCGAGAGACAGAAGACGAAACUGCUGUGCCCCAAACCCUGUCUGCCUGCUUUCUGCCGUCCGAGGCACAUUCAAAAAAGAAGCAGGCCAGCGAAGUCUCCUCAUCUGAUGGGGUGAGGACAGAGAUGGAUGACAUGCUCCCUGCCAGGGACGGCCACGUUCAGACACUCCCAGAUAGCCAGCUGCCACUUUAUUAACAGCAAAUGUCCCCAUCUGAACUGGGCUGGGAAAGAAAAUAUUUAUACUUGCCUGUCAGGAGGGCCUUCAUUUUUCUUCUGGGGGAGCCCGCCAGGGUGUGGGCCGGGGCUGGAGGAGGGCGACAGGCCCCCAAAGCUGCUCCAGGCCUUUUGUCAGCCCAGGGGCGAUGAAGACUCCAGGAUA